This 227-nucleotide long non-coding RNA is filed under the name Helianthus annuus (common sunflower). RNAcentral's name for it is "hypothetical non coding rna". Lineage: Eukaryota; Viridiplantae; Streptophyta; Magnoliopsida; Asterales; Asteraceae. The record is from RNAcentral.
AAGUUACUAAUAUGCUGAAACAGUGUCACUAUAUGUCAAACCCAAGUUUCCAACGCAAACACCCCAAGACUCACUCAAGGGCGGUUAAUGAGCAUAUAGACACGAAAAGUUUACCUAGCAUACGAGAUUAACAAGCAUCAAAUUGUGUCAUGUUUAAAAUGGAUAGAGUGUGCAUAUAACAAGUUUCAAGCGUUGCGUGUUUUUGUAUAGAACACAUGUUGCACCCA